RNAcentral lists this long non-coding RNA (563 nucleotides) under Phoenix dactylifera (date palm). Its description in RNAcentral is "long non-coding RNA (PDAC_LNC005931)". The record is from RNAcentral. Lineage: Eukaryota; Viridiplantae; Streptophyta; Magnoliopsida; Arecales; Arecaceae.
CAACACGUGCUAGCAUGUUCAUCUUGCAAACAUGAUCUAAUCCAAUUAGACCCUUGAUCAAUUCCCUUGUAUGUGACCCAUUGGGUUCCUUAUCUUAGCCAGCAGUAGGUGCAGGUGCAAGUUGACCUAACCUGAUUAGAAUACCUCUAAUCCAAUUUAGGUUCAAUUUAGUGCUAAACCUGAGUUGGCAAUCAGAACCUUUCUGAUGCUUUGAUCUAAUCAAACUCUUUGAUCCGAUCAACCCACAAGACAAGAUUGACAUCUAGCAACGUAUCAUGUCUACCCGGAAGAUGAGAAAUGUAUUGGACAAAUCCAAACAUACCCUUCAGUGGCAAGUUACCAUGCAAUUCAAUCCCUCAGUCAUACUACAUCCUGAAUAAGUGCAUAAGUAUGGAUCAAUAUCAAACUCAAUUACUUAUUCAUGUCUCUCUCAAUCUUUUAUAUGAUAAUUCAAACAAUGAAACAUUAGAAACUCUUUCUAAUAUUCAUUUUGCUUUGAUCAAAGGCUUCUUGAAUCAUCAUAAGAUUAGAGUAAGUAGGAUGUUAACUUCUCUUACUAGAAG